UGCGUAGGGGGCAAGCGUUAUCCGGAUUUACUGGGUGUAAAGGGAGCGUAGACGGUAGUGCAAGUCUGGAGUGAAAGGCGGGGGCCCAACCCCCGGACUGCUCUGGAAACUGUGCGACUAGAGUGCAGGAGAGGUAAGUGGAAUUCCUAGUGUAGCGGUGAAAUGCGUAGAUAUUAGGAGGAACACCAGUGGCGAAGGCGGCUUACUGGACUGUAACUGACGUUGAGGCUCGAAAGCGUGGGGAGCAAACAGG
RNAcentral lists this ribosomal RNA (253 nucleotides) under uncultured bacterium. Its description in RNAcentral is "partial 16S ribosomal RNA". It matches the Rfam family "Bacterial small subunit ribosomal RNA", at positions 524 to 776 of the family's 1533-position model. The record is from RNAcentral.